This 380-nucleotide unclassified non-coding RNA is filed under the name Hevea brasiliensis (rubber tree). Lineage: Eukaryota; Viridiplantae; Streptophyta; Magnoliopsida; Malpighiales; Euphorbiaceae. The record is from RNAcentral.
GAUGCAAGGAAAGACCACAGCAUAUUGACCCCCCACUUUCAUACACAUCAAUCCAACAUCUAUACCUGAUCAGAACAUGUUGUUUUGGAUUGAUUCCUGAAAUUCUCUUGAUGCCAUACCUAAGCCAGGAGUGAAAACUGCAAAACAUCGGAUCUCUACCCAAAGCAUAGUAUGGAUAUGCUUGAUCUUGUGGACAAAGAGUUAUGCAACAUGGUUGUGGCUGGCUAAGUUCACAGAACAUGUGGUCAAGGAGGUUUAGGGCAAAACUGUCUGUGAGAUCUGAUCAUCUCCUCAGACCUCGGUUGUCUUUGGACUACAGUGUUUUAAUUAUCAUGAAACGUGUCUAACUAUCUGAGGUUUCUCUUGCGAUGUGAUGUGGU